RNAcentral lists this small RNA (105 nucleotides) under Bartonella tamiae Th239. RNAcentral's name for it is "rpsB sRNA". It matches the Rfam family "rpsB sRNA". The record is from Rfam by way of RNAcentral. Lineage: Bacteria; Pseudomonadati; Pseudomonadota; Alphaproteobacteria; Hyphomicrobiales; Bartonellaceae.
CACACACGGAAAUUGGGUGGUUGCGGGAGAAAUCCGUAACGAUCCGCCGGUGGCAGUUACAUCUGCCUCUUUUUCGUGGAGGUUCAACCGGAAAGGACAAAACAA